CGCCGUUCUCAGGGCGGGGUGCAAUUCCCCACCGGCGGUAUCGGGCCUGCUUCACCCGUGUGGCGACUUCGGUCGGCGCGGAUGCGGCAGAGCAGUCUGCGGCUCUCUCCACAAGCGGGAUGCCAAGGAUGCCCGGAGCCCGCGAGCGCUUCCCGUCUCCCGGUUCAACAGCCGGCGGCAGGAAGGUCAGCAGAUCCGGUGCGAGGCCGGAGCCGACGGUAUAGUCCGGAUGGAAGAGAGCAAUG
Molecule: non-coding RNA, 245 nt
Filed under: Rhizobium sp.
Lineage: Bacteria; Pseudomonadati; Pseudomonadota; Alphaproteobacteria; Hyphomicrobiales; Rhizobiaceae
Description: FMN sequence
Rfam family: FMN riboswitch aptamer (RFN element)
About the family: The RFN element is a highly conserved domain that is found frequently in the 5'-untranslated regions of prokaryotic mRNAs that encode for flavin mononucleotide (FMN) biosynthesis and transport proteins. This element is a metabolite-dependent riboswitch that directly binds FMN in the absence of proteins. In Bacillus subtilis, the riboswitch most likely controls gene expression by causing premature transcription termination within the 5' untranslated region of the ribDEAHT operon and precluding access to the ribosome-binding site of ypaA mRNA.
Source: RNAcentral